CACGAAGUUAGCCGGGGCUUCUUCUCCGACUACCGUCAUUAUCCUCAUCGGUGAAAGAGCUUUACAACCCUAAGGCCUUCAUCACUCACGCGGCAUGGCUGGAUCAGGCUUGCGCCCAUUGUCCAAUAUUCCCCACUGCUGCCUCCCGUAGGAGUCUGGGCCGUGUCUCAGUCCCAGUGUGGCUGAUCAUCCUCUCAGACCAGCUAAAGAUCGUCGCCUUGGUAGGCCAUUACCCCACCAACUAGCUAAUCUUACGCGGGCUCAUCUAAUUCCGAUAAAUCUUUCCCCCGUAGGGCGUAUACGGUAUUAGCAGUCGUUUCCAACUGUUGUUCCGUAGAACUAGGUAGAUUCCCACGCGUUACUCACCCGUCUGCCACUCCCCUUGCGGGGCGUUCGACUUGCAUGUGUUAAGCCUGCCGCCAGCGUCGUUCUGUGCCACGGAGUCAAACUAC
RNAcentral lists this ribosomal RNA (452 nucleotides) under uncultured Devosia sp. RNAcentral describes it as "partial 16S ribosomal RNA". The record is from RNAcentral. Lineage: Bacteria; Pseudomonadati; Pseudomonadota; Alphaproteobacteria; Hyphomicrobiales; Devosiaceae.